AGCCAUUUGUGUGAGCGCUAAUUAACUUAUAUGGUAAGACUCUAUGGGAGGCUCCGACAAUAAAACUAUUUUAGAAGACACGGCAAUAUUUUACUAUAUGAAGUGAAAAUGUACAAGUUGUAGAUGGACAACUAUGGCAGCUCUUCUAUACAGUUAUUUACUGUCCAGCGAGGCCCUCAGAGGAUAUCUAAAGUAGUGAGAAUGUACACCUUGUUUUUCUAGGCCAACAUGACUUGGAUGAGUCAAUAGCAUAGUAGCCAUAGUUAUCUAAAAAGGGCAGUGUCCCAGGCAACAAGGUAAAUUGUUCUGCUGUCCAAUGCAUUGAAGCUAUAAUGCAUAUAUGCUUAGUAAAUUGUUUAGAUUUGUCUGAGACUAAUAAUGACCAACUUAGUGAAUUGUUAAACCUGAAAGUUUGUGUUUUCCAUUUAACACAGUGAAUUGUUUGCACAAUUCAGUUCCGUGUUGAUUGAAUGGACGUGACGUGAUGUUUUCUCCAGGGAACGGACUGAAGUGGAUUGACAUGGUUUCUGUCCAUCAUGCAGUUAUGUGCUAUUCUUCCUUGCUGCAGUGUUGCGCAUCUUUGCUGCUGUGGCUGACUCCAUGAAUAUGAAAGCUAUAUUUACUCCUAAGCUAUGAGUGUCCUCUAACUUCCUUCCAUGAGAGUAUCCUAUUGAAGUUCUAUCAGCCGACAGGUGCAUUGCACUGUUGAGGAGACACAUGCAUUUGUAUUCGAUAUUGAAGCGAGCCUGACACCCUGAAAGAACUAUACAAUGACAUUUGGCUAUUGCUUUCAGUAUUAGAGAAGCAUAGAAACAGAACUGCAGGGCUUACUGUAUUUUUAUGUGGCAUUCCUCUAUGCCAUCAUGCCAUACUGUUUAUUUUGAGCAACCUUUCUAUGGUAUUUUGUUGGACAGUUUUUAGUGUAAUCUCAAGCACCUCAAUAUAUGGUAAACAACUGCAUGCUUGGGUAUA
Triticum urartu is the source of this 972-nucleotide non-coding RNA. The record is from RefSeq and is a predicted model, not a curated record. Lineage: Eukaryota; Viridiplantae; Streptophyta; Magnoliopsida; Poales; Poaceae.